GACGAACGCUGGCGGCGUGCUUAACACAUGCAAGUCGAACGGAAAGGCCCUGCUUUUGUGGGGUGCUCGAUUGGCGAACGGGUGAGUAACACGUGAGUAACCUGCCCUUGACUUUGGGAUAACUUCAGGAAACUGGGGCGAAUACCGGAUAGGAGCUCCUGCUGCAUGGUGGUGGUUGGAAAGUGUCGGCGGUUGGGGAUGUACUCGCGGGUUAUCAGCUUGUUGGGGGGGUAGGGGCUUACCAAGGGUUUGACGGGUAGCCGGCCUGAGAGGGUGACCGGCCACAAUGGGACUGAGAUAGGGCGCAGACUCCUACGGGAGGCAGCAGUGGGGAAUUUUGCACAACGGCGCGAAGUCUGAUGCAGAAACGCCGCGUGCGGGAAGACGGCCUUCGGGUUGUAAACCGCUUUCGCCUGUAACGAAGAGUGAGUGACGGUAAUGGGUAAAGAAGCCCCGGCUAACUACGUG
RNAcentral lists this ribosomal RNA (468 nucleotides) under uncultured bacterium. Its description in RNAcentral is "partial 16S ribosomal RNA". It matches the Rfam family "Bacterial small subunit ribosomal RNA", at positions 28 to 507 of the family's 1533-position model. The record is from RNAcentral.